GAAAUGCGAUAAGUAGUGUGAAUUGCAGAAUUCAGUGAAUCAUCGAAUCUUUGAACGCACAUUGCGCCCUUUGGUAUUCCUUAGGGCAUGCCUGUUCGAGCGUCACCUAAACCUUCAAGCCCUGCUUGGUGUUGGGUGCCUGUCCCGCCUCCGCGCGCGGACUCACCUCAAAUCCAUUGGCGGCCCCCGCGUCGGCCACGAGCGCAGCAGAAACGCGAACUCGUGAGCCCGUCCGGGCGGCUCCCAGAAGCUACACCCACCCAGUUUGACCUCGGAUCAGGUAGGGAUACCCGCUGAACUUAAGC
Molecule: unclassified non-coding RNA, 305 nt
Filed under: plant metagenome
Description: partial contains 5.8S ribosomal RNA, internal transcribed spacer 2, and large subunit ribosomal RNA
Rfam family: 5.8S ribosomal RNA (bases 1-105)
Source: RNAcentral